UACGAAGGCGGCUAGCGUUGUUCGGAAUCACUGGGCGUAAAGCGCACGCAGGCGGAUCGAUAAGUCGGGGGUGAAAGCCCGGGGCUCAACCUCGGAAUUGCCUUCGAUACUGUCGGUCUCGAGUCCGGGAGAGGUGAGUGGAAUUCCUAGUGUAGAGGUGAAAUUCGUAGAUAUUAGGAAGAACACCAGUCGUGAAGGCGGCUCACGGGCCCGGUAGUGACGAUCACGUUGGAAAGCGAGGGGAGCAAACAGG
This 253-nucleotide ribosomal RNA is filed under the name uncultured bacterium. Its description in RNAcentral is "partial 16S ribosomal RNA". It matches the Rfam family "Bacterial small subunit ribosomal RNA", at positions 524 to 776 of the family's 1533-position model. The record is from RNAcentral.